This is a non-coding RNA of Acanthosepion pharaonis, 111 nucleotides long. The record is from the annotation of a GenBank genome assembly. Lineage: Eukaryota; Metazoa; Mollusca; Cephalopoda; Sepiida; Sepiidae.
CAGCCAUUUCACGUUGAAACACCGGUUCUCGUACGCUCGCCAAAGUUAAGCAACGCCGAGCUCGCUCAGUACCUAGAUGGGUGACCGCUUGAAAAUACCGGGUGCUGUAAG